GCCGAUGUGGUGGAACUGGCAGACACGCGGGACUCAAAAUCCCGUCCUAGCAAUAGGGUGAGAGUUCGAUUCUCUCCAUCGGCA
Molecule: transfer RNA, 84 nt
Filed under: bacterium
Lineage: Bacteria
Description: tRNA-Leu
Rfam family: tRNA
About the family: Transfer RNA (tRNA) molecules are approximately 80 nucleotides in length. Their secondary structure includes four short double-helical elements and three loops (D, anti-codon, and T loops).
Source: RNAcentral